Molecule: non-coding RNA, 12596 nt
Organism: Equus caballus (horse)
Lineage: Eukaryota; Metazoa; Chordata; Mammalia; Perissodactyla; Equidae
Source: RefSeq, a predicted model, not a curated record
AAUCCUAGUACCCCGACUUCCUGGUUUUGGCAAUUUAGAGUCUUGGGAAUCUGUCCUAGCCCCUGUAAAGUAAGCGGACUGUGUAAACAGGCCCUCCAAGAACCUCGAAGUGGCUCUGGUAGCCUUCAGAUCCUAAGCUCCUCAAUCCUUGGAGCCACCCUCAUUCCCCUACACCAAUCAGGAGCCAAAUUCUGAGUUCUCUUGAGCUUAAGGUCCCAGCCAAAUGGCCCUACUGCCUUCUUGCUUGUGAAAGCCUCCAAUUCCCAGCCUGUGGCCAAAUCCAAUUUUUGCAGCAAAUCAACCCUUCCCCCAGUAGCACCCCACCGACCCUGAGUGUCUCAGAUGCUGCAGACUCUAUUUAGGCUUGUAGCAGACAAGUCUAAGGGAAUUGGGCAGGCCAGGCAGUGACACUUCUUUCUCUAUGUUUGAGUCCUAUCCUCAAAGUGGGGAUCAGCCCCUGGUAUGAUAAGCACAGGGUGGGAGAGGGACCUGCUGUGGUGAGAUUACCCAGACUCUGAGACAAGCUCCUGCAGCUCCGCCUCACACCUCAACAGACCUGCACUCCUGUCUUUUAAAUUACCAAACAGGCCUGCGGCUAUUCUAACAAAGACUCACAAGUCACCUAUAAACACACCAGCUUCAGGCCACUUCCUGUGGUUUGCCUAAGCCAGCCAGGAGGGCAGAUGAACACUGUCCACGUUCCUGAGACCCCUUCCCCUGCAGCUACUCACGCAGGGCCUGGCCUCCUGAGGUACCCACCUGGGAUGCAGUGACCUUGUGGACUGCAGGAGGAGUUAUUUUCCCCUUUAGCGCCAGCCUAGGCUGGGCUGAAUGAUGGGCCUGCUGUUACAAAGGCUGCUUUUCAUCGUGUUCUUCCUUGGUAUUUUUGGUGUCUGGAGAGGACUUCCUUUCCUCCUAUGGUUAAUUAGCAGCAUCAUAGCAUUUUCCUUUUCUCAACAGAAAGUCUGUUCCCACCCCUGAGGCCAGGCAGAGGGGGUGGCAGGUGUGGCUAAGUACUCCCUGAGGUUAACCUCAAACUUAAACUUAGAACCAUACUUGUCUAGAAGCAAUGUGAAAUGCAGGAUUAGCUUCCAUUUGGGGCAGAGUUGGCAAGUGGGCACAGGUCCCUGGCAAGCCAGGGGAUUGUUUUCUAGCAUCUCAGUCAGGUGAGGAGACAGGAGAAGGGGGUGGGGAACCAAUGCGUGUUUGACACGUUUGUGAAUUGUUCCUACAACAAAGGCUUUUUUAAAACAACAGAGUGGAGCUUUAUAUAUUUGAAUGAGAAGCACACAGAAGGACCUAUUGUCAGAAGAAAAAAUUGUAUGAGUAAUUGUGCAUGACUUCAGUCUUCCCAGUUAAAAUGUUAGGCUUGUUAAGGAUGACUGUGGACAUUCCUGUGUUUUCAGUGUGGGGAAGACAAAGGAAGGAGCUCCUGGGAGGUGAGGAGGCAGGUUGUCUAGCAAGACAAGAGAGGCAGGAAACCAAGAAGCUCUUUCCCCCACUUUGCCUUGCUGGUUCCCAUUCUUCUUCUACUUAAUUGAGGUACCACUUCCUAUAGGAAGACUUCCUGCCCCUAUCCCCUUCCCCCAUGUAUUAUUGAUACAUAUCUCCUGUCUUUUCAUUAUUUACUAUACUAGAGACUAUCGAUAGGCUGUAGAGCAGUGAGCAUGGAUGCCAGGACCAGACUCCACCACUUCCUAAAUGUCUAACCUCGGCUAAGUUACUUAUCCUCUCUAUACCUCAGUUUCCUCAUCUAUAAAUGGGAAUAAUACCUACCUUGUUUAUGAGGGGAUUAAAUGUGUUAAUAUAUAUAAGGCACAUAGAACAGUGCCUGACAUAUACCCCAUCCUUAGGAAUGUCAAGACAUGGUUGUGUCUUCUGCAGAAAGUUGGCUCUUCCUGGGGCAGGCUUAAGAGAACAAUAUGACACUGAAUGUAAUGGAAUACAUGAAAGAAUCACAAUUCUAGCCAUCUCAACAUAUUGCAAUAUUGAAGAAAUAGAGAGAAAAACAAUUAGCUAGUGGUAAUAUUAGAGAUCAAUAGGUAUUUUCUCUUGUUCUCUCUUCUGUUUAUGUAGACUUAUUGCUUAGAGAGUUGCCAUAACAACUCUAGCCAGAAGCUGAACUUUGACCUUUCCUCGAGUUUUAAUUUCUAUUUGUAACCCAAUCUUUAGUUUAGUGGACAUCAUACAACAUUUAAAGACCUUGAAUAAAGCAUUUGUACCACUCUAAUAUAUAAUUAUCUGCAAGAUAAUAACAUAAUUGUAAUUAACUGCUUUUACCUAGUUGGUUUACAAAAUUUAAACUGACUGCUGCUUAUAGAACAUUAUAUCAGGCACCUCACAAUAGAAAUAGGAAACUAGAGCCAGGGUCCCUACUCUCAAGGAAGUUAUAUGUUAGUGGAGGAAGUAAAGAUAAACAUACUAAAAACUAGAGAAAAUAAAUAUACCAGAAACAUGUAAAUAGUGUAGAGCAGUGUAAAGUGGGCUUUGGAGUCAAACUUUAGGUCUAUUUCUUAUUAGCUGUGUGACCUCAAUUAAUUCAGCUAGCUUUCCAGAGUUUCAGCUUCUUCAUCCACCAAAUGAGAAUUUUGAUGCCGACAUCACAGGAGUGUUGUGAGGCUUCAAAGUGAUAAUAUAUGUAAGUGUCUGGCACUUUUUAUUAAAUGAAAUUAUUUUAAUUAACAAAGACACUGUAUUCCAACAGCACACUUUGUUGUCAGAAAUUUUAUUAUCAAGAGGAGAGUUAAUGGGAAGAGGAGGAAGCAAAUCAAGAAGGAGAACCAAGCACAAACAUAUACCUACUCUCCUGCCAUAAAUCCCUUAAAAGAGAAAAGAUAGCUUUUUAAAUCAGUAGGUGUCUACCAGUACCAGCAAACAAGAGAAGAGGCCAAAAUAUGAUAAAAAUCUGGAUAGGAAGCAGCUGGGAUCAGGGUGGUACAGAACCCAGAGCAGAGUAUUAACAUACUCCAAACACUCUUAAGAGGAAAUUACUUUGAAGGUAGGAGCAGAGAAUCUCUUAGCUCAGAGGAAGCAAAUAGAGAGAAUAGGAGGGGGUUGUGAAGCAAUCAUCAGAGUUAUUAAUCUUUAAACUGCCCUCUGAACAACAGACCUCUCCUCCUCUCUCCACUUCAGGAGGAGGUAGGUGUGUGUGUCCGGAGGUGGGGAGUGGGAGUUGGGGGUUGGGAGGGUUAUCCACGGGUAAGACACAGAGCCUCACUCUAAGAAAGGAAAUCAUCUGCCUGGGGAGGGCGCCUGCUGGGGAACAAGGGCCUGUGAGAAAAGCAGGGCUGGAAGUAACCCCAGCUACCUUCGACAGACACAGAGAGUGGAAAAAGGAAAAGGUGUUCCUGCCCAGCCUGUCAACUGUGACUUCAUCAGGUUAAAGGCCUCCUUAUUUUGGCAUUUGAGGAUGGACGAAGGACUGAGUAGGGAGGAGUGUGGUCCUCAAGCCUGCCUCUCUGCCUGCUCCCAGCAUCUUACAGGGAAGUCUGCAGUCAAAAUGUCCUACUCAGAGUCGUGACUAACCCUCCAUUAUCAAAGGAGCCUGCAGGGGAAACGGAUAGCUCAAAACUGAAGUGAAAAAAACAAAAUACCUACUAAUUAACCUAUCCUUCAAACACAGAUAUUAACGGAAAACUAAGAAUCACCAGAUACUUGAGGAAAUUUAACAGCUCUAAAGAAAAGCACUAAGACGAACAAACUGAAAACUGACCCCAGAGAAAAGACAGGUAAAGGAACAGAAAGGAACACUUAAAAAAAUUCUAAAUAGCAUCAUCCUCAGAAAGAUGCUUGAGGAUAUUGUAGCAGGCUGCUGUGAAAAAGGAACAAACAAAUGCUAUGACAAAGGAAAACCAAUAAGCAAAAAGGAAAUUAAAAAUGAUGAUAAUAAAUCUAAAAAAGCAAUAGAUGGGGUGAAUAAUAGGAUGGAUAUGGCAAAAACUGGGGGUGUUAUCCAGAAGCUAAGUGUGAGGAAAUCUCCCUGAAUCUACAGAAAAGAUGAAGAAUGGAAAAUUUGAGAGAAAAAUUAAGAGAUUGCUAUGGACUGAAUUGCCCCCCCAAAUUCAUAUGUUGAAGUCCUAAUCUCAACAUGAAUGUAUCUGGACAUAGGGCCUGUGAGGAGGUAAUGAAAGUUAAAUGAGGUCGUUAAGGGUGGAACCCUAAUUUGAUAGGGCUAGUGCCCUUAUAAGAAGAGGAAGAGACCCCAGAGCUCUCUCUCUGCUGUGAGAGGACACAGCAAGAAGGCAGCCAUCUGCAAGCCAGGAAGAGAGCCCUCACCAGAAACUGAAUAGGCUAUCAUCUUGGUCUUAGCCUCCAAAACUGUGAGAAAAUAAAUUUCUGUCGUUUAAUCCACCCAGUCUAUGGUAUCUUGUUAUGACAGCCCAAACAGAGGAAUACAGAGACACAAAAGAUUGAUUCAGAAGUGCCUCCAUUCAUUCAAAACAAGUGCCAGGAGGAACUGAGAAUUGGUGGGGAAGAGAUCCACAAAAAAUAAUUAAAGAAAAUUUUCCCAACCCAAAGAAAGGCUCAAGACUUCAUAAGGCCUGCCAAGUGUCAGGCAAGGUAAAUUUUAAAAGAUGCUUUUUAGGCAAAUUUUUGGGAUGUUUCAAAGCCAAAAGGGCAAAGAGAAAACCCUAAAAGUAUUCAGAGAAGAAAAGCAGGUUAUCUACAAGGAACAAAAAUAAGAUUGGCUUUCAGAUUUUUCAAAGGUAACUCUCAAUGCUGGGCAGCAAUGCAGCAAUAACUUCAAAAUCUGAAAGAAAAUAAUUUUGAGCCUAGAAUUAUGUACCAUGCUAGCCCAACUAGUGUUCAAAUGAGAGAGCAAAAUAAAGACGUUUUCUAUUGACCCUUCAAGUUGUCAAAAAUGAGUAAACUUGAUAAAAUGCAGCACUAGCAAAGUUUCAAGGGAAAUGGCACUCUCAAACCCUGUGGGAGUGUCAGUUGGCACAGCCAUUUUUAGAGGGCAAUUUGGAAGUAUGCAUCAAAAUUUUCCAUUUCCAGCUAUGUAACCUGGAGAAAAGCUGGUAAAAAUGCACAAGAGGCUCACACAGCAGAGUGGGGUCAAUAGUGCAGACCUUGGAGUCAGAGUGCUGUCAUGCAAAUCCCAGCUCAGCCACCUAUUAGCUUUGGGAUGUUGGGUGAGAUUACAUUAGUUGCCUCAGCAGUGAAACAAAGAUGAUAAUAUGUGGUCUCUAUUUCAUAGGGUUGUUCUCAGAAUUGAAUGAGUUAUUACAUGUAAAGUACUUAGAACAGAGCCUGGUACAGACUAAGCAUUCAUAAAUGAAUAUUAUCAUAUAUCGAAUAUAUGGAUAUUAGAUGUUAUGUAAGGACGUUAGAUGAUAGGUUGCUUCCAGUUUUGUGCCACUGGAAAUGUGACGUGGCAGCAUUUGCAGUGGCACGGUGUUGGACCACAUAAUAUCUAUUAAUAGGAGAAUGGUACCACCAUACUAUGGAAUACUAUGCAUCUGUUAAUAAAAAGGUCAUAAAGUUAUACUAAUUCUAUAUGCUAUCAUGGAAGGGUCCUAAGGACAUAUUGCUAAAUGGAAGUGAGGGAGAGAAAGCAAAUUGCAGAACAAAAUGUCCUGAUCACCCCAUUAAAAGAUACAUGAAUGUCUAUAUUGGACAUAUAUCCAAUGGUAUACCAUGGCAGGACAAAGUAGGGGGUGCUGUCUGCCCUGGGUGUAGGCAAUAAGGGGAUGCAUUACUUGAGGAUAAUUUUAAACAAUAACUUGAAAACAAUAGUAAAUAAUAAUAAAAUCUACUUGAUCUGCUUUCUAUUCUCACCAUGAACAGGGAAAACAAACAAUGUCAGUGAUAAAAUACUACUCCUUGCCAGGCCAGCCCACUCCUCUUUUUCCCCAAACCCUAUCCCUGUGUGCUAUUGCAUCUUCCUAAGUGCAUAGAAAAACUACUGCAGAAACUUAUUUACAGUACUUACUAACUAGGAGUAUAAUUUACAGAAGGAAGUGGGGUUGAGUAGUGGUGAGUAAGAUUUUCACUUUUUACUUGCUACUUAUUGUUUUUUAAAAAAAUUUUGUGAAGAAUAUAUUCCUUUGUUUAUGAUAUUUCUUGUAUAGUUAAAAUUUUUUCAAUUUGAAAAAAUAAAUAACAUGGUAGGCAAAAGGAUUUAUUCCAGGAAGUCAGAAAAAUAGAGUGCAAUGAUAGCAUAUAAUCAUUCCUGCAAAUAUUUUAGAUCAUAGAAUAUGGGUUAGGUACAGUGACUGCAUUUUCAGAACUAAAAAUCAGAAUUCAGUGUCUGCCAAAAGAUUUUUGGUACCACUUCUGAGUAGGAGAGGAAGCCUGGGACGUCCAAUCUUGAUGCCAAAAUAAUGGAAUUUCUGGGACAGUCUGAUGGCUUAUUAUUGCAAACAGACUGUUUGAAACUAGGUCUGUCCAUCAAUCCCCAAUCCCAUUCCAUUUUUGGAUCCUGUUGGAACAGAGCUCCUCCUGAUACAAUACCAGCUUAAAACCUAGCAUUCACCCUGCCUUACCCUACCUCCCCCAAGUCCUGGGCCUCACAGCCUUUGUUCCCCCUGAGAUCUGCCAGGAGCCCUGACAGAGCACUCCUAACUUCUCGAUUGCCUCAGCAGCAUCCCCAGGCAUACUGUCUGCCUCACCUAAGAGGGUAGCUAUUUUUCUAACUCUCUAUCUGCCCUUCUUGUUACCUACUGGCUUUCCACACCCAUAGCUUGAUUGCCUUCUGCACCCCCCCCCCCCACACACUCCCUACUAGCCCUCUUACUCCUCACCCUACACUUGGUGUACAGCUGAGCUAGCCUGGCCUGAGCUACUGAUACCAAUCCUGCUGAGGCUAGCACAGACAGUCCCAGAUGCAGGGUAAGCUGAGGCUGUGAAAAUGAAAUUGCUGGGUACAGAAAGGAGGAGGGUGAUAGACACAGAGAAACAGGAAAGAGUUUGCCAGGAAGCCAGACUGGUUGAGGGCUGAGUGGAAAAGAGAAGUUGAAGCAGGACUCACAGAACAUCUUGGGACCAGUAAAGGAAGUGGGAGAGAGGUAAGAACUAAAUGUACAGAGCAGUUUUAGUUCCAAGUGUGAACAAGGAUGUCAAGGUAAAUGUAUGGAUUCAUCGCUGAGAAGGACAAAAUGAAAGGCUCCAGUGGGUCCCGAGCCUUCUGCUGGGAAACGGAGAAAGAACAUGUGAAGAAAACCUGCUCCCCACCCUGACUGCGUGACAUCGAGCAAAUUCCUUAACCCCCUGAGCUUUACCUGGAAGUUGGAGUCCUUCCAAUUUAGUUCCUGUACAUAGUGGUACUAAUAAACAUUUGAUGAAUGAAUGAAUUAGUAAAGGAAUGGACUGAAGUCUCCGGAGCACACUUCGGCCAAUGGAACUCCACUCUAAAGGAAAUGGAACUGACUUUAGGGUCAGUGCCCUUGGAAGAUUCUCCCCCCAUCUCUUCUGCGUUUUGAUUCAUGGAACCUCCAUCUCUGCCCAGUGAUGCAGCUGGAAUAGGUUGCAUAAUGGCCACCCAAAGAUAUCCCUGGAACUUGAAAAUGUUGCCUAAUUUGGAUAAAGGGUCUUUGCAAAUGUGACUAAUUUAAGGAUCUUGAGAUGGAGAAAUUAUCCUGGAUUAUCUGGGUCUUGCCAUAUACCAUUUCAGGUAGAAGCUUCCAUUCUAGCAAAUAAAGGGAAACUGAAAAAGAGCUAUGCCAAACCAAAUUCUUCAUCAACCACAUCAUGGUCUGAGAAGAUGUGAAAAUCAUUUGACAAAGAUUCUAAAUGGUCUUGGAAACAAAUAAACCUAAGCAGAGCCAUUUGGUAAUGAACCUGUUCAUAAGUAGAAAAGAAUCUGUUUCUGGAAAGAGGGUAAGCAUGGCAGAAUGACUGGCCAGGAAACUAAAUUCAAACUUAGUGAUAUCAUAAAAGGCCUCAUGUGAUAAUGCAAGAAAUUUGACCUUAUCCUGAAAUAUGUACAGAACCACUGACUGGUUUUAAGCAGAAUGACAAUGACAUGAUUACAUUUAUGUUUUAGAAAACUUACUGUAACAACAAUGAGGAGAGUAGAUUAGAGGGGAACCAGAAAAGAGGUAGGGAGACCAGAAGGAGAACUAUUCAAGUAAUUCAGGAAAUAAUUUAUGAGGAUUUUAACUAAGUGAUGGCAGUGGGAAGGAAGAGGAGGGGAUAUGAUAUUAGAGAACUAUUAAGGAGUAGAAUCUACUGUACUUUGCACUGAUUGGACAGGGGUAUGAUUGAAUGGGCAGAAUCUAAGAUGACUACUACCUUUCUGGAUUGCCCUACUCAGUGGAUGGUGGUUUCAGUCAUCCAAGACAGAAAGAAGCAAGUAUAGGGAGAAAAGUGAUUAGUUGAGUUCUGAACAUUUGACCUUGACGUUCUGGGGCAUGUAGGUGGUUAGGUCCAAUAGGCAGUAGAAUAUAUAGGUCUGAAGCUCAACAAGAGUGUUACAUAAUACCAGCAGACAUCAAUAUACAUUUAACAGUUGAAGCUAUGAGAAUGAAAUAGUUCAGCUAAGGGUUACACAUUGUUUGAUAGAACAAAAGGAAGAGAUGGUGGAACCCUAAGAAAAGGAGACAUUUAUUAGGUAAUAGGUAGAGUAAAAUGAGCCAAGGAAAGAAGUAAAGAAAAGGCCUUUAAUGAACAUUCAAGAAUUAAAUAAAACUGGCAAAACAAAGGAUUCAAAUGAUUUCACCUUAUUUGGAACUCACAACAACCCCAAGAUAUUUAAGGCAGGUAUUACUAUCAGAGUCCCAUUUCAUAGGCAACUUAAGUCCAUUUAGAUGACUAACCCAAGAUUUCUCAGCUUUUAAUUAGCAGAGCUGGGAUUGUAACCCAAGUCUUCCUCAAAUCCCACAGGUCUUCAAUCCACCAUGCUGGCUCCAAAUUUCUUGUGAUUCAUAGAUAUAUAGACUAUCGAAACCAGGAAAGCAGAAGUCGGAAAGAGUAAUACUAGUACAAUAUCAACCUCCCUCAAUACCCCCUGUUUCCAUGCUUUUUACACAGUUGGAAAUUAAAGCUCAGAGAAGUUUAAAAAACACUUUGUCUUAAAAUUCCAAUCCUUACCAAAACUUACCUAAAACUCCAAUCUCCUACUUUAGCAUUCAUAGGCAAAGAAACAUUAAUUCUUUGUUUGCAUAAUGAUAUGUGUGCUCAGAACUUUCAUAAUAAAGGCAUCAGAAACAGAAUAGUAUCUUUUCUGUACUGUAAUCAUUAGAGAGAAAACUAUAGGACUUCUUAAGGCCUUGCUCCACCUCAUACAAUGUUCUUUAUUUUAUGCAAAUGUACUGGCUGUGGGAGAUACUCUAUGUAGUUAUCACAAGUAGAUCAUGAAUGAGUGUUAGAGAUAAGUAAACCAUCUUCUUAUAAAACAAAACAUUAUUAUUAUGGGCCUGCAAAAGCUUAGAAAUAUUUUCACUAGAAUCCAUCUCAGGAUAGUGAAACCUGUUUUACUGGAAUUUGACCUGAAAAAAAUAGAACUUGGUCAUAAAGUUUCAACACAACUCUUACCGAAAGAGUACAUUUCUCCUGCUAACAUGGACAGUAAUUUUUUAAAAAAAUUUGAUAUAUAUAAUAUAAAACCAAGUUAUAUAAAAAUGUGUUGUAGGUGGAUAGAUUCCAAAUGCAGGUUUGAACAUGAUUAUUUCAAGGUCUUUUUACUUAUGUGGAUUAGUGAGCCUGUGGACGAGGUAUCUGCCCAGAAAUUCCAACCUCUAAAAGUGGUUUCAAUUGGUCUAAUUCUGUUCUUAUAUAGGUAAAGUCUUUUAAUCCUUGUGAUAAAACUCCAGGAGCUUGCUUCCUUUAAAUCCUAAUAUAAGUUAGGGUAGUAAGCAGAGAGAAUAUUGAUUUCAUUCAUUCAGGAAACAUUUGAGUGUGAAGACACUGUGACUAUCAAGAUGAAUCAGAAAUGGAUUCUUUCCACAAAUAAUUUAGCCUGGGGCAGGGCUGUGGCGCAGCUAAUUAGGUGGGUUAAGGCUGACAUCUCUGUUAAGAACUUGAAGUACAGGUGUUUUGUGUUGUUGAUCCAUGUUGAGCUUUGGGGUAUAGAUCAAUAAACAGGUGGCAUGUGGCAAAGGUGGCAUUCUGGUAUGAAAGUUGAAAAGCUUGGUUGGUAUUUUCUCAUUGUUGCCUGGAGCCGCUGCUCCUCCUGCUCCCAGUGGAAGGCUCUUUCACUGCAAUUCUGGCAACCCUUUCAGAAUCUGGCCCCUAAGGGAUUACAAAUCUUUUAGUAAUCAGAUGGUAACCCAACUCCACUGAGAGGAUCAACUGGUACAACGUUGCAGGAGCGAAACGUAACUUUGAAGAGUAAUUUAGCUUCCCUCCCCAUUCCCUCUCCUAAGAAAACAAAACAAUCAGACCAGAUAUAAACAUGUAUGUGCAUACAUAUAAAAAGAUCAGAAACAAUUUAAGGCUGAACAACUUGGGUGUGGUUAAGUAAAUUAUGGAUCUCCUUAUGAUGUAAUACUAGGCAGCCAUUAAAAUCAUAUUUUAGGAAAAUGAAAAUAUUUACCAUAUGCCGUUCUAAAAAUUGCUUACAAAAUUUUAACAUGGUAUUAAUGAUAUUUUCCAAAUAUGUGUAUAUUCGUGUUUGUGUGAGCACAGAAAAAGACUAGAAUGAUAGAAGACUCAAAUAUUAAUAGUGGUCAUCUCUGGGUGGUAGGAUUAUAGGAGAGUUUUCUUCUUUGUGGUUUUCUUUUAUUUUCCAAAUUAUCCAAAAUGUAGUGUGUUACUUUUGUUAUUUGAAACAAAUAUAUUUUUAAAAGGAAGGACCAAAAAGUGGUCUAGCUCUUCUCAUUUUACAGUUCCUUUUGACAAAGAAGUUUCACCAAAUUCCCCAAGGGCUGGAACGGAAGGCUAUUUUAGUGAUGCCAACUGUGCCAACUCAAAACAUUACUCACAGAACUUGUAUCUAGCGGCAAAGAAAAGAGUCGCUUCUCAUCCGGUCUAGGGCACAUUCACCAGGAGCUGCAGGGACUCUGCCUACAUCUUUUUUUUCGUUUAAGGAUUUUUAAUUAUGGUAUCCUGGGGCCUCAUAAGCAAUGCCAAAGUCUUUGCCGUCUCUUCCAGUAUACUAGGUGGCCAUGUGCAAAUAAGAUUAUUAAUGGCCUUCAGUAGUAUCCCAGAGUUUUUGAGAGAGGCCAGCAAAAUAGGUCCUGUUUGGAGACAGGAUAGCAUAUUAGUUAGGAAUGCAGACUUUCUAGUCAAACAAACCUUAGUCAGAAUUGCACCACUGAAAUUUACUAAUUGCGUGAGCUUGGGUACAUUACUUAAUUUCUGUGUCUCAAUUUCCUCAUCUGUCAGUUAGAUGAUGAUAAUAUCUACCUUAUAAUGUUUCUAUGAUAGCUCAAAAUGAUAAUGCAUGUUAAGUACUUAGCACAAUGUCUGGCACAUUGUAAAUAAUCAAUAAAUGCAAGCUAUUAUAUUACUAUGAUAAAUACAAUAAAGAGAUAAAAAUAAGUGUUAUGGGAAAUCUAGAAAAGGCACAAUUACUCCUGGUUGAGAAGAUUACAAAAGGCUUUGUAGAAGGAGAAAAUUUAGAUAUUCUAAGAUGAGGGUUAAAGGCAUUUCAAGUGAUGGCAACAUCAGAGCAUAGAGGUGAGGAAGCUAUAAAACAUAGACGUUGAACAGUUUUUGCGAAGCAUCCCAUACAAGAAGAAUUCUUUAGGAAACAAGAAUGCCAGGCAAAGAAGUUUAGACUUAGCUUAUGGAUAAUAAGAAAAUGUUUCAUCUAUUUGUUAUAAUUUUCAUUCCCAAAUAAUUUUUGUAAUACCACACAGAAAUCUUUUUUUUCAAUUCACCUGAGCAUGUGUAGCAAUACCCCAUCUGCCCAUCUCAUGACCCUCCACAUUCUCUAGUUAAAACCAAGUUUUAGCCAUUGGUAAGUCAAAGAAUCUCCUGGCCAAAGCACAGCGUGGUCUCUUGGAGCAGGGGAAGAAACUAGAAAUAACAGAGCAAAGAAAGAAUGACCUUUUCUUUUUAUAGCUGUAUAGACACUUUAAGACAUCAGGGGAUAUGAAAGGAAGCAAAGUUAUGCUUGGUCCUGGUAAGUAGGAUCAUGAAACAUAAAAAACAUGCAGAAAAGAAAAAAGUUCAGACAAAUAAUACUUGAUUUCAAGAUUUACUAUAAAGCUAGAGUAAUCAACACAAUGUUGUAUUGGUGAAAGGAUAGACAUAUAGAUUGAUGAAAAAGAAUAGAAAGCCCAGAAGUAGAACCGCACUUAUGUGGUCAGUUGGUUUUUGACAAAGGUGCCAAGGCAUUCAAUGGGAAAGAGAAAGUCUUUACAACAAAUGGUGUCAGAACCAUUGGAUAUACAAAUGGAAAAAAAUUAAACCUCAAUCUUUAUCUCACAGAAUACAUAAAGAUUAAUUCAAAAUGUCAUGUAGAUCUAAAUAGUAAAAGCUAAAACUGUAAAACUUUUAGAACAAAAAUCUUUGUGAACUUGGAGUAGAAUUUCUCAGACAGAACAGAAACAAGAAGAAAUCAUUUAAAAAUUGGUAAUUUGAACUUCAUCAAAAUUCAAAACGCUUGCUAUUUAAGUGACAUCAUUAAGAAAGUGAAAAGACAGUCGUAGACUAGAGAAAAAAUUUUAUGUACAUCAGCCAAAGGACUCAUAUCCAGCACAUAUAAA